AUUUCCUGUAGUUAAUAUUUGUUUAUAACUUCGAAGUCAUUCGGUAAAGAGUCACUCGAAUCCUGUAAUGACCUGGCAACCAUAUGCGGUAUUUAAUGUACGGGGAACAAGCGAGCGUACGGGACGCCCAAAAAGGGUUUUCAUUGCAUUUGGUUAAUCAUUGCAGCCCAUGGGCCUUUAGUAGGCCGAGCUUUGUAGGAACAGUAUCUAUUUCUUUAAACAGUUGGACGUGAAAGGAAAGGCCCCCACCCGGAGUCAAUUCCACAGUUCGCUAGUUUGCAAAAGAAAGUGUUUUGUGAUGUGGACCGGACCGGACUUCACAAUGUUUUGCUAAAAACCUUGCGAGAUGUAAAAAUACAUACGUUUCUAUGGAUAAUUUAAAGAGUUUCUUAAUAAAUGUUUAAUAGAUAAAUCCGAAUUAUUUACAUA
This is a long non-coding RNA of Pieris rapae (cabbage white), 429 nucleotides long. RefSeq lists it as uncharacterized. The transcript is spliced from 2 exons. The record is from RefSeq and is a predicted model, not a curated record. NCBI's taxonomy places the organism in Eukaryota, Metazoa, Arthropoda, Insecta, Lepidoptera, Pieridae.